AUUCAGCCUUAUCCACGAGGACUGUCAUUGCAUCUCUGAGAGACCUCCGAGAUUGAAAAUUCCUUUGGUACUCUAUGUUGACUUCCAUUUAUUUCCAUCUGAAUCGUAUGCAGGAGAUCUCGGAACUUUUUACUAUACAAAGAAACUGUCAAAAUCAGUUGUAACGAGAUCCCGGCGACUUUUAGGUAGCUAAAAAAUGGAAAAGACUCAGGUGAAUAUAAUAUUACACUUGAUAAAAAAAUAAAUGUAUGUGGGUUCCAAUUUUUGGCCAAUUUCAGCAGAUUUCAUCUGGUAACACUGGUUUUGUUUGACAGCUACGCAAGUGCUUAAAUUCAUCUUUGAAUUUUACUAUCGACACUCAUAAUUGGUUAUUAAUGAAUUUUGAUCUUAUCAUUUAAUUUUGAAAUACGAUAUAGUAUGGAGAUUACGCAAAUUACGUGAAGCCAUCUGCUCAAUUUAAUGGAAAGGUUCACUGCCAUCCAUUCCGUUGUGAUCGGAACGCGACGCGGCUAACCGGACGCAGCCGGCGGCGGCGUCCUGCAUACUCGAACCACUAUGUAGAUGGAACAGCAUUACUAGGUGUAGCUAUGGUUAUGUAUGUUGUUUGUGUCCAAGCGCACAGUGCAACGCGCGGCCCUGACGCGCCCGCGACCGAUGCGCACCGAUGUAAACACCAAGGAAGGUCAACCGCCUUGCAUUCAACGCAUCCUACUACUCUGAAGCUUUUUGAAGUCGUCGGAUAACUACACUUAUGUAUGCUUUCAAAAUAAUAAAAGUUCUAUCAUAUCAUAUAAAUGUCUUAACUUACCGUAUCAUUAUUACUAAUAUUAGGCAUUAAUGCAAGAUUAUUACUUCUGUGCCUUAAUAGCUUAAACAAUCGUCUUGUUUAUCCUAUAUAUAUAAGAAUUCCGAGCUUUCGUAUGUUAUGUACGCUUGUGUAUUAGGUAUGUAUUAUAUUUCUUUAUGUAACAUUCUGUAAUAUAAAGAAUAUAUAUUCUAGUAUUAUUUCGAUCUAUUACAUACUGUAUCACAGAACCACUUUUCCUAAGCAGGAUGUUUUAAAACUACGAGUAGAUAUCUAUAUAUGUGUAAAUAAAUAUGAUUAUUGAUUAAUGCUGAAAUGGCUGAAUCUAAUAAAAUUAGUAUAAAACAACUUAGAUUUAAUAUUGACUAAAAUUUAUUCUUUUGGGUGUACUGACGGAGUAAGAAUAGGAAGUUUCCAAUACAUGGGAUAUUCAUGAAUGUUGUAAGAUUUUUGGAUUGAUCAAUUUUUAAUAUUUCAUAUAAUAAAUAUAGUUUAUUUUCAUGGUUACUAUUACGUAAUUUUGCUUUUCGUUAUACCCAUCAAAACUAAUCCCAUGUAAAUUUCAGUUAAGUGCACAAAAUACUUCACUGAAUUGUUAAUAG
Galleria mellonella (greater wax moth) is the source of this 1407-nucleotide RNA transcript. RefSeq lists it as uncharacterized. The record is from RefSeq and is a predicted model, not a curated record. Lineage: Eukaryota; Metazoa; Arthropoda; Insecta; Lepidoptera; Pyralidae. The transcript has 3 exons.